This is a long non-coding RNA of Gadus macrocephalus (Pacific cod), 1000 nucleotides long. RefSeq lists it as uncharacterized. NCBI's taxonomy places the organism in Eukaryota, Metazoa, Chordata, Actinopteri, Gadiformes, Gadidae. The record is from RefSeq and is a predicted model, not a curated record. The transcript is spliced from 2 exons.
CACCGAGCAGAGACGCUUGUCUGCUCGCAUUUGCGUGCAGGUUUCGCUGCCUGGUGCAGAGGGCUGGAAUCAAACGCCCGCCGUUUUGUUUUCGCGAUUCCAGCCGCACCCCUAUUGGCUCGAACCAGCGGCCAAUGGCAGCCUGUGUUGGUCGUGGGGCGCGCCUCGCGGACACGCUUUUACAUUGUCGUUCCCAAACCAAUGGGCGAGCGCGUUCCCCGCCGUCCCUCCUUCCAGUGCCGUUGAGUAGCGCCAGCGGAGACCGGGGGAGAGUUUCUGUGUGGAUGUACGAGCCUCGAUUCACUUGAAGCCUGAACUUCUACGACGCGUCUGCCAUACUUUCAACUGCACACUACAAUCUGCAGUAUAGGAUGUAAUCACUUCCACAUGCUGGGUCGAUUUUAACCCGGGUUUUUUUGGCUUGAGAUUUUUUUGCAGAAUUGUUAAAUUAGGGUUAUGUAUGUUAAGCAAGGGGCAAAGCUUUCAAUCAUGACGGGGACUCGCGUUUUCGUCGGCAAGGGGAGAAGAACUGCGCUGAACGCAAGAGGAAGCCGAAGUUCAUAAAAAAGGAUUAUUGCAUCUGGAUGCUUAAAACUCCCUGUGCUUCCGGAUUCUGCUUUGGAUUAAGGAUUUAUCGCUUUUUGCCAGAAUGGAAAGCCGGGAUUUUGCCCCACCACACCACCUUUUGACAGAGCGGAGCGCGCUGGUUCACAGCGCCGCUUCCCGGAUCGCUCCGGGCGGCCACGGCUCCGUGCAGCACCCCGCUCACUUCCAGCCAGGGAAGUUCUACUCCUCUCACCUCUCCAUGGGCCCACACUCAGGUCCGUUUGGAAUUAAGCUUUGCUGUUUUACAAAUGAUCAUGUGUUCUAUCAACAGAUAAUGUUCGACAUUUACAAAAUGAUUUGUUUUGUGGGGUCCACAUUGCACAUUUAGGAGUAGGCUACUUAAAAAAAAAAAAAACUGAAGAAAAAAGUUGACUCGAGUUGAACUGGAAUUGAA